CCUACGGGUGGCAGCAGUGAGGAAUAUUGGUCAAUGGCCGAGAGUCUGAACCAGCCAAGUCGCGUGAGGGAAGACGGCCCUACGGGUUGUAAACCUCUUUUGUCAGGAGCAAAGAGAGUCACGUGUGACCCAUUGAGAGUACCUGAAUAAAAAGCAUCGGCUAACUCCGUGCCAGCAGCCGCGGUAAUACGGAGGAUGCGAGCGUUAUCCGGAUUUUUUGGGUUUAAGGGGUGCGCAGGCGGAGGUGCAAGUCAGCGGUCAAAUUGCCGGGCCCAACCCCGUACUGCCGUUGAUACUGCAUGCCUUGAGUACGCGAGAGGUAUGCGGAAUGCGUGGUGUAGCGGUGAAAUGCAUAGAUAUCACGCAGAACUCCGAUUGCGAAGGCAGCAUAC
RNAcentral lists this ribosomal RNA (392 nucleotides) under uncultured bacterium. RNAcentral's name for it is "partial 16S ribosomal RNA". It matches the Rfam family "Bacterial small subunit ribosomal RNA", at positions 338 to 729 of the family's 1533-position model. The record is from RNAcentral.